GAUGAAGAACGCAGCGAAAUGCGAUACGUAAUGUGAAUUGCAGAUUUCAGUGAAUCAUCGAAUCUUUGAACGCACAUUGCGCCCGCUAGUAUUCUGGCGGGCAUGCCUGUUCGAGCGUCAUUUCAACCAUCAAGCCCUAGGCUUGCGUUGGAGCCCUGCGGCUGCCGCAGGCUCCCAAAUCCAGUGGCGGGCUCGUCGUCGUACCGAGUGCAGUAAACAUCCUCGCUCAGGGAACGUGACGGGUUCUUGCCGUGAAACCCCCCACAUAUCAAGGUUGACCUCGGAUCAGGUAGGAAUACCCGCUGCACUUAAGCAUAUCAAUAAGCGGCGGA
Molecule: unclassified non-coding RNA, 332 nt
Filed under: soil metagenome
Description: partial contains 5.8S ribosomal RNA, internal transcribed spacer 2, and large subunit ribosomal RNA
Rfam family: 5.8S ribosomal RNA (bases 1-120)
Source: RNAcentral